Anas platyrhynchos (mallard) is the source of this 1353-nucleotide long non-coding RNA. RefSeq lists it as uncharacterized. The record is from RefSeq and is a predicted model, not a curated record. NCBI's taxonomy places the organism in Eukaryota, Metazoa, Chordata, Aves, Anseriformes, Anatidae.
AUUUUUCCCAAAUCUAUGUUAGAUUAGGAGUUUUGUAUAAGAGUAGGGCGAGAACAAGCAUGUACUAACCAACUUGUGUUUGUUUUUUUUUUUCCAUUUGUUUUUGUCUAACUAUUGUUGUUAACCAUUGCUGCCUGCUUCCCUGCCAGUUUACAAGCAUGUCAUCAACCACAGCAACUCAAUAGCUUCAUUCUGUGACUGGCAGGCUCAAAAUGACUGGACCUGUAAAAGUCUUGACAGCAAACAGCUAAAAGAUCUCUUUACGACUUCAGAAGGCAGGAAUCUGCGGAGUGGGGAGAAAAAAAGAAGAAAAAAAGAAGAAAAAACAGUACAGAAAUUUUGGUUGCGUUAUCUCAAGAGAAAGUUGUAUGAAAUAACCAAGAUCUGCUUUAUUUUGUAGGCAUUUGGGAUAUUACUCAGAAUGAUCAGAAUACAUAUAUAGAUGUGGUGUAACUUUAAUAGAAUAGCAAGCUGGAAAACAAUGUGUUGAAACAGUGUAUAAAACCUACACUGACAAAUCUAGAUCUUAAUUAUAUUUUUAAUAAUUAUAUUUUUGUUUGGUAUUUGUGUCUUUCCUCUAGCAUAUUAUGGUACCAAAACAUAAUGGAUAGUUGCAGUUAAAAAGGAAAAUGUAGAUAUUUGCACAGAGCUAUUUACCUAUGGUGGUGCUAUCUGCUUUUUCAAACUGGGGUCUGAAGUGUUUGGCUUUAGCAUGAAUUUCUUAAAGUUUGCUGGAGUCCUCCAUUAUGUUACUUUUAAACAAGCUAUUUAUACAACUAUCCAAAUACUAGGCAUCAGUUCAUAGUAGCAGUCUGUAUUCAGUCCAGAUUUCAGGACAAGAAUUGAAAUAACCUGAAUCAGCAGCCCAACUGCCUUCAGUCAGUCUGUAAUUGACUGUCUAUUCUGCAGAAAGUGCUAUUGUUCUAACAACUAAUAUUAAAUUGAAAUGUCUGUGAAACUUCAUAUUUUGAUCAGAUGUUCACAAAGAUUAUUUAAAACCAUUUAUCAGCAUCAAAUGUGCAAGCAAGGCAAUUUUUCUAAGUAGAAAGAGAAAACUAUUUUGUCUGGUAGCACUGUGCUACUGUUUUUUGCCUUAAUUUAUUGUUUAAUUCUUUACCUCUGGUUGACAUGUCUGUUGGUUAUUUGUGUUCUCUCCUUGCCUUUAUUGUGUAGUUAAGGAAAGUAGAAAACUAAAUCUUAAAGUGAAUAUCAGAUCUUCUGUUAUAUGUGAUCUCAUUUGCUCAUCACAUACUGAAUAUGCAGAUUGUACUAAAGUAUUUUUAGUGUAUGAAUUAUUUUUUCUUGGUAAAUGAGCUGAAUAAAAAAUACAGGAGUUUAAGUUUGUAGCAGUGU